UGCUGUAACCGUUUGCCACGUGGCGCAUAGGCCUUGGCCGGUGUAAAAAGAGUAUAGCCGACCGGCUACACUGGAUUCUUUUUGAAUUUUGUUCUAGAAAUAGUAUAGCCGCACGGCUAUACUUAUUUUCCCCAAAUUUUUUUUAAGUAGGCUGUGACACGCUGCACCUAUGCGCUGGGGCAUCCCUUUUUUUAAUAUAUAAAUAGUACAGCCGUUCGGCUGUACCUUUACAAAAUAAAAUUCAAUUUGCCACGUGGCAAAUAGUCCUUGGCCGGUGUAAAAAGAGUAUAGCCGCCCGGCUAUACCGGAUUCUUUUUUGAAUUUUCUUCUAGAAAUAGUAUAGCCGCCCGGCUAUACUUAUUUUCCCCUGUUUUUUUAAUUAGGCUGUGACACGCGGCACCUAUGCGCUGGGGCAUCCUUUUUUUUAAUACAUAAAUAGUAUAGCCGCGCGGCUGUACUGUUAAAAAAGAAAAUUUAAUCCCAUUUACAAAAAAUUUAGUUUCUUUACUUUUCUUUUUUGACCUACUUCUUUUAUUUAAUAUAUGUAAUUGAGCAAUAUCUUAGCUUUUUCGAAUUACUUUAAUCACUACUUGUAUUUUAAUAUAUAUAUAUAUAUAACAAUUUCAAGUAAAAGUCCCCAAAAUAAUUCAUUUAUAUUUAUUAAGUCUUUUGAGAACUCGUUUGGGUGUCUUAAUUAAAUUUCUCCGUAGCCCAAGAGCCCUAUCUCUUAUUAUUAGGCCAUUGCUCGGGUAUCUAGUGUCCCUUUUUGAUUUUUUUUCUUUUCCAAAGCUAUUACCCGCAUAAAUAUUUUUGCACUUUCACGUUUAAUAAUGUUUUAUACACGUAUUUCUCAUGUUUAGUGCACUUAAUUUUAACAAAAAUUUCAGUAAUACGCAAAAUUCACGUAUUAUACACAUAAUUCUAACAUAUUAUUGAAUAAAAAUAAUAUAUAUGUAAAAAAAAUCUCAGUUUUUCCAUAAUUGUUUAUUAAAAAUAGUAUAGCCGAGCGGCUAUACUCUUUUUCAAAAAUUUUAAUUAAAAAUAGUACAGCCGCCCUGCUGUAACCGUUUGCCACGUGGCGCAUAGGCCUUGGCCGGUGUAAAAAGAGUAUAGCCGCCCGGCUACACUGGAUUCUUUUUGAAUUUUGUUCUAGAAACUUAUUUUCCCCAAAUUUUUUUUAAGUAGGCUGUGACACGCGGCACCUAUGCGCUGGGGCAUCCCUUUUUUUAAUAUAUAAAUAGUACAGCCGUUCGGCUGUACUUUUACAAAAUAAAAUUCAAUUUGCCACGUGGCACAUAGUCCUUGGCCGGUGUAAAAAGAGUAUAGCCGCCCGGCUAUACCGGAUUCUUUUUUGAAUUUUCUUCUAGAAAUAGUAUAGCCGCACGGCUAUACUUAUUUUCCCCUGUUUUUUUUAAUUAGGCUGUGACACGCGGCACCUAUGCGCUGGGGCAUCCUUUUUUUUAAUACAUAAAUAGUAUAGCCGCGCGGCUGUACUUUUAAAAAAGAAAAUUUAAUCCCAUUUACAAAAAAUUUAGUUUCUUUACUUUUCUUUUUUGACCUACUUCUUUUAUUUAAUAUAUGUAAUAGAGCAAUAUCUUAGCUUUUUUGAAUUACUUUAAUCACUACUUGUAUUUUAAUAUAUAUAUAUAUAUAUAUAACAAAUUCAAGUAAAAGUCCCCAAAAUAAUUCAUUUAUAUUUAUUAAGUCUUUUGAAAACUCGUUUGGGUGUCUUAAUUAAAUUUCUCCAUAGCCCAAGAGCCCUAUCUCUUAUUAUUAGGCCAUUGCUCGGGUAUCUAGUGUCCCUUUUUGAUUUUUUUUCUUUUCCAAAGCUAUUACCCGCAUAAAUAUUUUUGCACUUUCACGUUUAAUAAUGUUUUAUACACGUAUUUCUCAUGUUUAGUGCACUUAAUUUUAACAAAAAUUUCAGUAAUACGCAAAAUUCACGUAUUAUACACAUAAUUCUAACAUAUUAUUGAAUAAAAAUAAUAUAUAUGUAAAAAAAAAUCUCAGUUUUUCCAUAAUUGUUUAUUAAAAAUAGUAUAGCCGCGCGGCUAUACCCUUUUUCAAAAAUUUUAAUUAAAAAUAGUACAGCCGCCCUGCUGUAACCGUUUGCCACGUGGCGCAUAGGCCUUGGCCGGUGUAAAAAGAGUAUAGCCGACCGGCUACACUGGAUUCUUUUUGAAUUUUGUUCUAGAAAUAGUAUAGCCGCACGGCUAUACUUAUUUUCCCCAAAUUUUUUUUAAGUAGGCUGUGACACGCUGCACCUAUGCGCUGGGGCAUCCCUUUUUUUAAUAUAUAAAUAGUACAGCCGUUCGGCUGUACCUUUACAAAAUAAAAUUCAAUUUGCCACGUGGCAAAUAGUCCUUGGCCGGUGUAAAAAGAGUAUAGCCGCCCGGCUAUACCGGAUUCUUUUUUGAAUUUUCUUCUAGAAAUAGUAUAGCCGCCCGGCUAUACUUAUUUUCCCCUGUUUUUUUAAUUAGGCUGUGACACGCGGCACCUAUGCGCUGGGGCAUCCUUUUUUUUAAUACAUAAAUAGUAUAGCCGCGCGGCUGUACUGUUAAAAAAGAAAAUUUAAUCCCAUUUACAAAAAAUUUAGUUUCUUUACUUUUCUUUUUUGACCUACUUCUUUUAUUUAAUAUAUGUAAUUGAGCAAUAUCUUAGCUUUUUCGAAUUACUUUAAUCACUACUUGUAUUUUAAUAUAUAUAUAUAUAUAUAACAAUUUCAAGUAAAAGUCCCCAAAAUAAUUCAUUUAUAUUUAUUAAGUCUUUUGAGAACUCGUUUGGGUGUCUUAAUUAAAUUUCUCCGUAGCCCAAGAGCCCUAUCUCUUAUUAUUAGGCCAUUGCUCGGGUAUCUAGUGUCCCUUUUUUAUUUUUUUUCUUUUCCAAAGCUAUUACCCGCAUAAAUAUUUUUGCACUUUCACGUUUAAUAAUGUUUCAUACACGUAUUUCUCAUGUUUAGUGCACUUAAUUUUAACAAAAAUUUCAGUAAUACGCAAAAUUCACGUAUUAUACACAUAAUUCUAACAUAUUAUUGAAUAAAAAUAAUAUAUAUGUAAAAAAAAUCUCAGUUUUUCCAUAAUUGUUUAUUAAAAAUAGUAUAGCCGCGCGGCUAGACUCUUUUUCAAAAAUUUUAAUUAAAAAUAGUACAGCCGCCGUGCUGUAACCGUUUGCCACGUGGCGCAUAGGCCUUGGCCGGUGUAAAAAGAGUAUAGCCGACCGGCUACACUGGAUUCUUUUUUGAAUUUUGUUCUAGAAAUAGUAUAGCCGAACGGCUAUACUUAUAUUCCCCAAAUUUUUUUUAAGUAGGCUGUGACACGCGGCACCUAUGCGCUGGGGCAUCCCUUUUUUUAAUAUAUAAAUAGUACAGCCGUUCGGCUGUACUGUUACAAAAUAAAAUUCAAUUUGCCACGUGGCACAUAGUCCUUGGCCGGUGUAAAAAGAGUAUAGCCGCCCGGCUAUACCGGAUUCUUUUUUGAAUUUUCUUCUAGAAAUAGUAUAGCCGCCCGGCUAUACUUAUUUUCCCCUGUUGUUUUUAAUUAGGCUGUGAAACGCGGCACCUAUGCGCUGGGGAAUCCUUUUUUUUAAUACAUAAAUAGUAUAGCCGCGCGGCUGUACUUUUAAAAAAGAAAAUUUAAUCCCAUUUACAAAAAAUUUAGUUUCUUUACUUUUCUUUUUUGACCUACUUCUUUUAUUUAAUAUAUGUAAUUGAGCAAUAUCUUAGCUUUUUUGAAUUACUUUAAUCACUACUUGUAUUUUAAUAUAUAUAUAUAUAUAUAUAUAUAUAACAAUUUCAAGUAAAAGUCCCCAAAAUAAUUCAUUUAUAUUUAUUAAGUCUUUUGAGAACUCGUUUGGGUGUCUUAAUUAAAUUUCUCCGUAGCCCAAGAGCCCUAUCUCUUAUUAUUAGGCCAUUCCUCGGGUAUCUAGUGUCCCUUUUUGAUUUUUUUUCUUUUCCAAAGCUAUUACCCGCAUAAAUAUUUUUGCACUUUCACGUUUAAUAAUGUUUCAUACACGUAUUUCUCAUGUUUAGUGCACUUAAUUUUAACAAAAAUUUCAGUAAUACGCAAAAUUCACGUAUUAUACACAUAAUUCUAACAUAUUAUUGAAUAAAAAUAAUAUAUAUGUAAAAAAAAUCUCAGUUUUUCCAUAAUUGUUUAUUAAAAAUAGUAUAGCCGCGCGGCUAUACUCUUUUUCAAAAAUUUUAAUUAAAAAUAGUACAGCCGCCCUGCUGUAACCGUUUGCCACGUGGCGCAUAGGCCUUGGCCGGUGUAAAAAGAGUAUAGCCGCCCGGCUACACUGGAUUCUUUUUGAAUUUUGUUCUAGAAAUAGUAUAGCCGCACGGCUAUACUUAUUUUCCCCAAAUUUUUUUUAAGUAGGUUGUGACACGCGGCACCUAUGCGCUGGGGCAUCCCUUUUUUUAAUAUAUAAAUAGUACAGCCGUGCGGCUGUACUUUUACAAAAUAAAAUUCAAUUUGCCACGUGGCACAUAGUCCUUGGCCGGUGUAAAAAGAGUAUAGCCGCCCGGCUAUACCGGAUUCUUUUUUGAAUUUUCUUCUAGAAAUAGUAUAGCCGCACGGCUAUACUUAUUUUCCCCUGUUUUUUUUAAUUAGGCUGUGACACGCGGCACCUAUGCGCUGGGGCAUCCUUUUUUUUAAUACAUAAAUAGUAUAGCCGCGCGGCUGUACUUUUAAAAAAGAAAAUUUAAUCCCAUUUACAAAAAAUUUAGUUUCUUUACUUUUCUUUUUUGACCUACUUCUUUUAUUUAAUAUAUGUAAUUGAGCAAUAUCUUUGCUUUUUUGAAUUACUUUAAUCACUACUUGUAUUUUAAUAUAUAUAUAUAUAUAACAAUUUCAAGUAAAAGUCCCCAAAAUAAUUCAUUUAUAUUUAUUAAGUCUUUUGAAAACUCGUUUGGGUGUCUUAAUUAAAUUUCUCCAUAGCCCAAGAGCCCUAUCUCUUAUUAUUAGGCGAUUGCUCGGGUAUCUAGUGUCCCUUUUUGAUUUUUUUUCUUUUCCAAAGCUAUUACCCGCAUAAAUAUUUUUGCACUUUCACGUUUAAUAAUGUUUUAUACACGUAUUUCUCAUGUUUAGUGCACUUAAUUUUAACAAAAAUUUCAGUAAUACGCAAAAUUCACGUAUUAUACACAUAAUUCUAACAUAUUAUUGAAUAAAAAUAAUAUAUAUGUAAAAAAAAUCUCAGUUUUUCCAUAAUUGUUUAUUAAAAAUAGUAUAGCCGAGCGGCUAUACUCUUUUUCAAAAAUUUUAAUUAAAAAUAGUACAGCCGCCGUGCUGUAACCGUUUGCCACGUGGCGCAUAGGCCUUGGCCGGUGUAAAAAGAGUAUAGCCGACCGGCUACACUGGAUUCUUUUUGAAUUUUGUUCUAGAAAUAGUAUAGCCGCGCGGCUAUACGUAUUUUCCCCAAAUUUUUUUUAAGUAGGCUGUGACACGCGGCACCUAUGCGCUGGGGCAUCCCUUUUUUUAAUAUAUAAAUAGUACAGCCGUUCGGCUGUACUUUUACAAAAUAAAAUUCAAUUUGCC
RNAcentral lists this long non-coding RNA (5531 nucleotides) under Prunus persica (peach). RNAcentral describes it as "long non-coding RNA (PPER_LNC007444)". The record is from RNAcentral. Lineage: Eukaryota; Viridiplantae; Streptophyta; Magnoliopsida; Rosales; Rosaceae.